This 253-nucleotide ribosomal RNA is filed under the name uncultured bacterium. RNAcentral's name for it is "partial 16S ribosomal RNA". It matches the Rfam family "Bacterial small subunit ribosomal RNA", at positions 524 to 776 of the family's 1533-position model. The record is from RNAcentral.
GACGAGGGAUCCUAGCGUUGUUCGGAAUCAUUGGGCGUAAAGCGGGUGCAGGUGGCUUUGUAAGUCAGGUGUGAAAGCCCAGGGCUUAACCCUGGAAGUGCAUUUGAUACUGCGAAGCUUGAGUGCUGGAGAGGUUACUAGAAUUCCUGGUGUAGUGGUGAAAUACGUAGAUAUCAGGAGGAAUACCGGUGGCGAAGGCGGGUAACUGGCCAGACACUGACACUCAGACCCGAAAGCGUGGGGAUCAAACAGG